AUGAAUGCGAGGGUUUUCGGCAACGUCGGUGAGACCCUGGUGCUCGCCCACGGCUACGGGGGCAGCCGGUUCGUCUGGGACGACGUCGUCCCGUCGCUGGCGGACAAGUUCCGGGUCGUCGUCUUCGACUGGAGCUUCUCCGGCGUGGCGGACGGCGGCGGGUGCUCCGAGCGGCGGUUUUCGUACCACGACUUCGCCGACGAACUCGUGGCGCUGAUGGACGAGCUCGGGCUGAGGGGAGCAGUGUUCCUGGGCCACUCCAUGGCUGGCAUGAUCGGCUGCAUUGCGUCGCUUGCAAGGCCAGACCUAUUCACCCACCUCGUGCUGGUUGGGGCGUCACCUAGGUACAUCAACGACGACGGCUACGAGGGCGGAUUCGGCCGCGGAGAGGUGGACGCCAUGCUCGGAGCCAUCGAGACCGAUUUCACCGAGUGGGCGCCGCUCUUCGCCGAGACCGUGGUCGGGGUGGACCACCCAGCGGCCGUCGCAAAGUUCGCCAAGCAGCUGGCGAUGAUGCGCCCGGCCACCGCGCUCCGCGUCAUGCGCACCGUGCUCACCUGCGACGUCCGGGACGUGCUCCCGGACGUCAAGGCACCAUGCACCAUCGUGCACUGCACCCAGGACGCCGUGGCGCCGCUCGCAGUUGCUCGCUACAUGCAGCACCGACUGGCCGGGUGCGCUGGUGGCGGCGGCGCGGCCUCGGUGGUCAUCCAGUCCUCCAGCCACUUCCCACAGCUCACCGCGCCAAAGGAGUUCGUCCGGGUCAUUGAGGCCAUCUUGCUCGACCGCUGA
Molecule: ribosomal RNA, 792 nt
Filed under: Triticum aestivum (bread wheat)
Lineage: Eukaryota; Viridiplantae; Streptophyta; Magnoliopsida; Poales; Poaceae
Description: partial small subunit ribosomal RNA
Source: RNAcentral